This 584-nucleotide ribosomal RNA is filed under the name Debaryomyces hansenii. RNAcentral's name for it is "eukaryotic LSU rRNA". It matches the Rfam family "Eukaryotic large subunit ribosomal RNA", at positions 69 to 664 of the family's 3401-position model. The record is from RNAcentral. Lineage: Eukaryota; Fungi; Ascomycota; Pichiomycetes; Serinales; Debaryomycetaceae.
CGGGUAUUGCCUUAGUACGGCGAGUGAAGCGGCAAAAGCUCAAAUUUGAAAUCUGGCACCUUCGGUGUCCGAGUUGUAAUUUGAAGAAGGUAACUUUGGAGUUGGCUCUUGUCUAUGUUCCUUGGAACAGGACGUCACAGAGGGUGAGAAUCCCGUGCGAUGAGAUGCCCAAUUCUAUGUAAAGUGCUUUCGAAGAGUCGAGUUGUUUGGGAAUGCAGCUCUAAGUGGGUGGUAAAUUCCAUCUAAAGCUAAAUAUUGGCGAGAGACCGAUAGCGAACAAGUACAGUGAUGGAAAGAUGAAAAGAACUUUGAAAAGAGAGUGAAAAAGUACGUGAAAUUGUUGAAAGGGAAGGGCUUGAGAUCAGACUUGGUAUUUUGCGAUCCUUUCCUUCUUGGUUGGGUUCCUCGCAGCUUACUGGGCCAGCAUCGGUUUGGAUGGUAGGAUAAUGACUAAGGAAUGUGGCUCUACUUCGGUGGAGUGUUAUAGCCUUGGUUGAUACUGCCUGUCUAGACCGAGGACUGCGUCUUUUGACUAGGAUGUUGGCAUAAUGAUCUUAAGCCACCCGUCUGAAAAUCGGGAAACA